AAAAGAAUCACAUUCCCUUUUUUUUUUUUGUUGAAAGAGAAACUAGAGUUAGACUAAAGCAUAACCUCUAACCAUCUCGGCUCUUAUAUAUCCAGGCUCCAUCACCAAAGACUUCUUCAAUCAUAGUGGGUGUUGGAACCAAACCAACUUCAUUUCUGGCACAGUUCAAGUACCCACCAUCCCACUCUUUGCCAUUACACGACUCCAACAGACUAUCAUG
RNAcentral lists this unclassified non-coding RNA (220 nucleotides) under Hevea brasiliensis (rubber tree). Lineage: Eukaryota; Viridiplantae; Streptophyta; Magnoliopsida; Malpighiales; Euphorbiaceae. The record is from RNAcentral.